Molecule: ribosomal RNA, 1940 nt
Filed under: Escherichia coli
Lineage: Bacteria; Pseudomonadati; Pseudomonadota; Gammaproteobacteria; Enterobacterales; Enterobacteriaceae
Description: partial 23S ribosomal RNA
Rfam family: Bacterial large subunit ribosomal RNA
Source: RNAcentral
ACUGAAACAUCUAAGUACCCCGAGGAAAAGAAAUCAACCGAGAUUCCCCCAGUAGCGGCGAGCGAACGGGGAGGAGCCCAGAGCCUGAAUCAGUGUGUGUGUUAGUGGAAGCGUCUGGAAAGGCGCGCGAUACAGGGUGACAGCCCCGUACACAAAAAUGCACAUACUGUGAGCUCGAUGAGUAGGGCGGGACACGUGGUAUCCUGUCUGAAUAUGGGGGGACCAUCCUCCAAGGCUAAAUACUCCUGACUGACCGAUAGUGAACCAGUACCGUGAGGGAAAGGCGAAAAGAACCCCGGCGAGGGGAGUGAAAAAGAACCUGAAACCGUGUACGUACAAGCAGUGGGAGCCUCUUAAUGGGGUGACUGCGUACCUUUUGUAUAAUGGGUCAGCGACUUAUAUUCUGUAGCAAGGUUAACCGAAUAGGGGAGCCGAAGGGAAACCGAGUCUUAACUGGGCGUUAAGUUGCAGGGUAUAGACCCGAAACCCGGUGAUCUAGCCAUGGGCAGGUUGAAGGUUGGGUAACACUAACUGGAGGACCGAACCGACUAAUGUUGAAAAAUUAGCGGAUGACUUGUGGCUGGGGGUGAAAGGCCAAUCAAACCGGGAGAUAGCUGGUUCUCCCCGAAAGCUAUUUAGGUAGCGCCUCGUGAAUUCAUCUCCGGGGGUAGAGCACUGUUUCGGCAAGGGGGUCAUCCCGACUUACCAACCCGAUGCAAACUGCGAAUACCGGAGAAUGUUAUCACGGGAGACACACGGCGGGUGCUAACGUCCGUCGUGAAGAGGGAAACAACCCAGACCGCCAGCUAAGGUCCCAAAGUCAUGGUUAAGUGGGAAACGAUGUGGGAAGGCCCAGACAGCCAGGAUGUUGGCUUAGAAGCAGCCAUCAUUUAAAGAAAGCGUAAUAGCUCACUGGUCGAGUCGGCCUGCGCGGAAGAUGUAACGGGGCUAAACCAUGCACCGAAGCUGCGGCAGCGACACUAUGUGUUGUUGGGUAGGGGAGCGUUCUGUAAGCCUGUGAAGGUGUACUGUGAGGUAUGCUGGAGGUAUCAGAAGUGCGAAUGCUGACAUAAGUAACGAUAAAGCGGGUGAAAAGCCCGCUCGCCGGAAGACCAAGGGUUCCUGUCCAACGUUAAUCGGGGCAGGGUGAGUCGACCCCUAAGGCGAGGCCGAAAGGCGUAGUCGAUGGGAAACAGGUUAAUAUUCCUGUACUUGGUGUUACUGCGAAGGGGGGACGGAGAAGGCUAUGUUGGCCGGGCGACGGUUGUCCCGGUUUAAGCGUGUAGGCUGGUUUUCCAGGCAAAUCCGGAAAAUCAAGGCUGAGGCGUGAUGACGAGGCACUACGGUGCUGAAGCGACAAAUGCCCUGCUUCCAGGAAAAGCCUCUAAGCAUCAGGUAACAUCAAAUCGUACCCCAAACCGACACAGGUGGUCAGGUAGAGAAUACCAAGGCGCUUGAGAGAACUCGGGUGAAGGAACUAGGCAAAAUGGUGCCGUAACUUCGGGAGAAGGCACGCUGAUAUGUAGGUGAAGCGACUUGCUCGUGGAGCUGAAAUCAGUCGAAGAUACCAGCUGGCUGCAACUGUUUAUUAAAAACACAGCACUGUGCAAACACGAAAGUGGACGUAUACGGUGUGACGCCUGCCCGGUGCCGGAAGGUUAAUUGAUGGGGUUAGCGGUAACGCGAAGCUCUUGAUCGAAGCCCCGGUAAACGGCGGCCGUAACUAUAACGGUCCUAAGGUAGCGAAAUUCCUUGUCGGGUAAGUUCCGACCUGCACGAAUGGCGUAAUGAUGGCCAGGCUGUCUCCACCCGAGACUCAGUGAAAUUGAACUCGCUGUGAAGAUGCAGUGUACCCGCGGCAAGACGGAAAGACCCCGUGAACCUUUACUAUAGCUUGACACUGAACAUUGAGCCUUGAUGUGUAGGAUAGGUGGGAGGCU